This 528-nucleotide ribosomal RNA is filed under the name uncultured bacterium. RNAcentral's name for it is "bacterial SSU rRNA". It matches the Rfam family "Bacterial small subunit ribosomal RNA", at positions 777 to 1304 of the family's 1533-position model. The record is from RNAcentral.
AAUAGAUACCCGGGUAGUCCACGCCGUAAACGAUGUCGACUUGGAGGUUGUUCCCUUGAGGAGUGGCGUUCCGGAGCUAACGCGUUAAGUCGACCGCCUGGGGAGUACGGCCGCAAGGUUAAAACUCAAAUGAAUUGACGGGGGCCCGCACAAGCGGUGGAGCAUGUGGUUUAAUUCGAUGCAACGCGAAGAACCUUACCUACUCUUGACAUCCAGAGAACUUAGCAGAGAUGCUUUGGUGCCUUCGGGAACUCUGAGACAGGUGCUGCAUGGCUGUCGUCAGCUCGUGUUGUGAAAUGUUGGGUUAAGUCCCGCAACGAGCGCAACCCUUAUCCUUUGUUGCCAGCGGUUAGGCCGGGAACUCAAAGGAGACUGCCAGUGAUAAACUGGAGGAAGGUGGGGAUGACGUCAAGUCAUCAUGGCCCUUACGAGUAGGGCUACACACGUGCUACAAUGGCGCAUACAAAGAGAAGCGACCUCGCGAGAGCAAGCGGACCUCAUAAAGUGCGUCGUAGUCCGGAUUGGAGU